RNAcentral lists this ribosomal RNA (495 nucleotides) under uncultured bacterium. RNAcentral's name for it is "partial 16S ribosomal RNA". It matches the Rfam family "Bacterial small subunit ribosomal RNA", at positions 28 to 507 of the family's 1533-position model. The record is from RNAcentral.
GACGAACGCUGGCGGCGUGCCUAAUACAUGCAAGUAGAACGCUGAAGGAGGAGCUUGCUUCUCUGGAUGAGUUGCGAACGGGUGAGUAACGCGUAGGUAACCUGCCUGGUAGCGGGGGAUAACUAUUGGAAACGAUAGCUAAUACCGCAUAAGAGUAGAUGUUGCAUGACAUUUGCUUAAAAGGUGCAAUUGCAUCACUACCAGAUGGACCUGCGUUGUAUUAGCUAGUUGGUGGGGUAACGGCUCACCAAGGCGACGAUACAUAGCCGACCUGAGAGGGUGAUCGGCCACACUGGGACUGAGACACGGCCCAGACUCCUACGGGAGGCAGCAGUAGGGAAUCUUCGGCAAUGGACGGAAGUCUGACCGAGCAACGCCGCGUGAGUGAAGAAGGGUGUCGGAUCGUAAAGCUCUGUUGUAAGAGAAGAACGAGGGUGAGAGUGGAAAGUUCACACUGUGACGGUAUCUUACCAGAAAGGGACGGCUAACUACGUG